This 45-nucleotide non-coding RNA is filed under the name Schistosoma curassoni. Lineage: Eukaryota; Metazoa; Platyhelminthes; Trematoda; Strigeidida; Schistosomatidae. The record is from RNAcentral.
AUCCAGCUGACGAGUCGCGGAUAGGACGAAACGCGCAUCCUGGAU